GACGAACGCUGGCGGCGUGCUUAACACAUGCAAGUCGAACGAAGAGCGAUGGAAGCUUUCUUCUAUCAAUCUUAGUGGCGAACGGGUGAGUAACGCGUAAUCAACCUGCCCUUCAGGGGGGGACAACAGUUGGAAACGACUACUCAUACCACAUACGAUCUAACCUCGGCAUCGAGGAUAGAUGUACGGUGGCCGCUACAUGUAAGCCAUCACUUAAGGAUGGGAUUGCGUCUGAUUAGGUAGUUGGAGGGGUAACGGCCCCCCAAGGCGAGGAUCAGUAGCCGGGCUGAGUGGAUGAACGGCCAGAGUGAGACUGAGACACGGCCCAGACUGCUACGGGAGGCAGCAGUGGGGAAUCGUCCGCAAGGGAUGAAAGUCUGACCGAGCAACGCCGCGGGAGGGAUGACGGCCUUCGGGUUGUAAAGCUCUGUUAAUCGGGACGAAAGGCCUUCUUGCGAAUAGUUAGAAGGAUUGACGGUACCGGAAUAGAAAGCCACGGCUAACUACGUG
RNAcentral lists this ribosomal RNA (510 nucleotides) under uncultured bacterium. RNAcentral describes it as "partial 16S ribosomal RNA". It matches the Rfam family "Bacterial small subunit ribosomal RNA", at positions 28 to 507 of the family's 1533-position model. The record is from RNAcentral.